Molecule: ribosomal RNA, 334 nt
Filed under: uncultured Planctomycetota bacterium
Lineage: Bacteria; Pseudomonadati; Planctomycetota
Description: bacterial SSU rRNA
Rfam family: Bacterial small subunit ribosomal RNA
Source: RNAcentral
UGCGUAGGCGGAUGUGCAGGCGUCGUGUGAAAGCCCUCGGCUCAACCGGGGAAUUGCACGGCGAACCGCACGUCUCGAGACAAGUAGGGGCGGUCGGAACGAUAGGUGGAGUGGUGAAAUGCGUUGAUAUCUAUCGGAACGCCAAAGGUGAAGACAGACCGCUGGGCUUGUUCUGACGCUGAGGCACGAAAGCGUGGGGAGCAAACGGGAUUAGAUACCCCGGUAGUCCACGCCCUAAACAAUGUGCACUAGAUCGAAGGAGGUACUGACGCCUUUUUCGGUCGAAGUAAAAACGUUGAGUGCACCGCCUGGGGAGUACGGUCGCAAGGCUAAA